Molecule: long non-coding RNA, 436 nt
Organism: Leptidea sinapis
Lineage: Eukaryota; Metazoa; Arthropoda; Insecta; Lepidoptera; Pieridae
Exons: 3
Source: RefSeq, a predicted model, not a curated record
UUACUUCCUUGUGUGGUACCUAUAUAAGGCAAUGGAAGAAGGUUUACAAUACUAGUAAUCGUCUGGAAAUCUCGCCAUUCUUUGUCACGUCGAUAGAAGGAAUAAAACCAUUCGCCAUGAAACUAUUACUUUUUAUUACAUUGAUUUUAUCAAUCGUUGCUUGGGCAAGUGCAAAAUCAAAACUUUUCUGUGAAAUAGCGUGCGGAUCUCACUACGUUCCUGUCUGUGCCACUAAUGGACAAACAUAUGACAACAGAUGCUUUUGUGACUGCCGCGGCGCAACGUUUGCUCACAACGGCGUUUGCAAAUCCGAUGUACAACCUAAUGAGGAAGAUUCUAGUACUCAGGCCGAAUAAAGAGCAAGGAGCAUACAUCAUGAAAAAAAUAAAAAAUUGUAAUAAAAUUGGAAACAAAUUAAAGCAAUAAAUCAUUAAAA